RNAcentral lists this ribosomal RNA (253 nucleotides) under uncultured bacterium. RNAcentral describes it as "partial 16S ribosomal RNA". It matches the Rfam family "Bacterial small subunit ribosomal RNA", at positions 524 to 776 of the family's 1533-position model. The record is from RNAcentral.
UACGUAGGGGGCAAGCGUUGUCCGGAAUCAUUGGGCGUAAAGCGCGCGUAGGCGGCCCGGUAAGUCCGCUCUGAAAGUCCAGGGCUCAACCCUGGAAAGCGGGUGGAUACUGCCGGGCUAGAAUCCGGAAGAGGCGAGUGGAAUUCCUGGUGUAGCGGUGGAAUGCGCAGAUAUCAGGAAGAACACCAACGGCGAAGGCAGCUCGCUGGGACGGAACUGACGCUAAGGCGCGAAAGCGUGGGGAGCGAACAGG